Molecule: long non-coding RNA, 1763 nt
Organism: Sarcophilus harrisii (Tasmanian devil)
Lineage: Eukaryota; Metazoa; Chordata; Mammalia; Dasyuromorphia; Dasyuridae
Source: Ensembl
CUCGGUUCUGGAUUUAGCAAAAGGACUAGUAUCCAGGCAAAAUACAUUGCUGCGGGCUGCUAGGAAUAAUUAGGACAUGGCCUGGCUCUAGAUUCCCAGGAAUCUGCUAGAGGGAUAGGGAAGAGAAAAAGGAGGAGGAAAAGAAGAAAAAGAGGAGGACGAGGAAAGGGGGAGGAGGACUAGAGGGGAAGGAGGAGGAGGACCUGGGUUCUGGGGCUGCAGAGCCACGAACCGCUACCCCCUGAGGUGCAGGGGAGGCAGCAGGACCCACCCCGGAACUGUGCACGGGAGCCCCGUUUGCAAAAACAAUGGGAACCGCAAAACCUGGCCCAGAUGUCCUAAGAUGGACAUCUCUGAGGAACAGACCUGUUUUGAGGGCGGGAGAAGGAGGGAAAGUGAGCUGUCACUAGGGGGAAGCCGUAUGAUGAUAAGAGGUAAGAGGCUGACUGAAGAUGUCGAAGAAUAGGAAGCUCUUGCUCUUUUGCUUUGGACUCUGCAAGUCCAGGAGAGAAUGAGGACACAGGCACACCUGAAGAUGGAAGAUUAGCCACCAGAAGUGAAGGUCGCUCCUCUUCAUCUGGAGGAGAUCAGGUAAUCAAAGCAGAAGAUGGAAAUUGCUGUGCCCUGGUACAGAUGGAAAUCACCCUUUGUUCCUUUCCCUCAGGGGAUACAUACAGCCGGAGAUGGAAGGCAUGUGGUCAGAAGAAGGUAGGUUCUUCUCAUCUGAGGUACAAUAGGAAGUACAAGUCUCACAGGUACAGGGGGAGAUGAAAAUAGAAUUGACACAGAUGGCAGUCCUCCCUCCUCCACCUUUGUUACCAGAUCUCCCAUUCUUGAUGUUAGAGAUGUAGAUGAAGAUUUUGAAGCUUUAACUUGGGAUCCAGGGCAUAAAAUGUCAUAAAAUCAUCCACCAAAUGGAUCUAUAUUUUAUGAAAGUUCUGAGAUAGGUGGUAUAGGGGAUCCAUUAACGUAAAAGAUGGUUCUACCUUCAAGGAGCUUAUAUCUAGUUGGAAAGAGAAGACCCUCACAUGUCAAAUUUUUUUUUAGUUUACUGCUCAAAUAGUGGCACAGAGAGCAAAAAUUUUAAAAUAAUUAGCUCAACACCCAAUUAGUGGCAGAGACAAUAAAUAAAAAUAAUUACUUCAAUGCCUAAUUAGUGGUAUAGGCAAUAAAUUAAGAAUAAUUAGUUUGAUGCCCAAUUAGUGGUAUGGUUAGUAAAUAAAAAUAAUUAGUUCAAUGACCAAUUAGUGGUAUAGACAGCAAAUAUUAUUAUAUCAGAUCAGAGGAGGGAGUGUUCAUUGGGGGCUGGUGUGGUCAGACAAGGCUUCCUGGAAGAAAUGGAACUUGGUCUGGACAUUAAAAGAUGGAUAUUUGAUCAGCUGUAAAUGGAGAUAGAGGUAGAAAUAGGAAGGAACAUUCAGGGCACAGAGACAGGACCAGGCCAACAGGAGUAGAGGAUUCAAGACACAGAAUAUUUUGAUUCAUCACAGGAUUUGUAAUUUUAGAGUUUCCCCCCAAUGAAAAAGAUUGCCACCCACUGCUGCCUUCUCAUCCUGUUCCCACUUAUAUUCACUUUUAGGUCUUCUUCCUACUGAGGAUUGGCCCAUUGUAAUGGAGGCUGCCUUCUGGGCCUUUUAACAUUUUGAAGGUACCAGAGUAAAACUCAUGCUGUCCAUCUGUUAUUCUGUAUUCCCAUACUCAUAUUUCCUUAGUGAUAUAUCCCUUAUGUCAAUGGGACUAAAUGUGAACAGAUCCCUGUUCCU